CCUACGGGAGGCAGCAGUGAGGAAUAUUGGUCAAUGGACGAGAGCCUGAACCAGCCAAGUAGCGUGAAGGAUGACUGCCCUAUGGGUUGUAAACUUCUUUUAUAUGGGAAUAAAACAGGGUAUGCAUACCCUCUUGUAUGUACCAUAUGAAUAAGGAUCGGCUAACUCCGUGCCAGCAGCCGCGGUAAUACGGAGGAUCCGAGCGUUAUCCGGAUUUAUUGGGUUUCAAGGGAGCGUAGGUGGAUUGUUAAGUCAGGUGUGAAAGUUUGCGGCUCAACCGUAAAAUUGCAGUUGAAACUGGCAGUCUUGAGUGCAGGAGAGGUAGGCGGAAUUCGUGGUGUAGCGGUGAAAUGCUUAGAUAUCACGAAGAACUCCGAUUGCGAAGGCAGCUCACUGGACUGCAACUGACACUGAUGCUCGAAAGUGUGGGUAUCAAACAGGAUUAGAUACCCCAGUAGUC
Molecule: ribosomal RNA, 460 nt
Filed under: uncultured bacterium
Lineage: Bacteria
Description: partial 16S ribosomal RNA
Rfam family: Bacterial small subunit ribosomal RNA
Source: RNAcentral